This 745-nucleotide ribosomal RNA is filed under the name uncultured bacterium. RNAcentral's name for it is "bacterial SSU rRNA". It matches the Rfam family "Bacterial small subunit ribosomal RNA", at positions 33 to 773 of the family's 1533-position model. The record is from RNAcentral.
ACGCUGGCGGCAGGCCUAACACAUGCAAGUCGAGCGGUAGAGAGAAGCUUGCUUCUCUUGAGAGCGGCGGACGGGUGAGUAAUGCCUAGGAAUCUGCCUGGUAGUGGGGGAUAACGUUCGGAAACGGACGCUAAUACCGCAUACGUCCUACGGGAGAAAGCAGGGGACCUUCGGGCCUUGCGCUAUCAGAUGAGCCUAGGUCGGAUUAGCUAGUUGGUGAGGUAAUGGCUCACCAAGGCGACGAUCCGUAACUGGUCUGAGAGGAUGAUCAGUCACACUGGAACUGAGACACGGUCCAGACUCCUACGGGAGGCAGCAGUGGGGAAUAUUGGACAAUGGGCGAAAGCCUGAUCCAGCCAUGCCGCGUGUGUGAAGAAGGUCUUCGGAUUGUAAAGCACUUUAAGUUGGGAGGAAGGGUUGUAGAUUAAUACUCUGCAAUUUUGACGUUACCGACAGAAUAAGCACCGGCUAACUCGGUGCCAGCAGCCGCGGUAAUACAGAGGGUGCAAGCGUUAAUCGGAAUUACUGGGCGUAAAGCGCGCGUAGGUGGUUUGUUAAGUUGGAUGUGAAAUCCCCGGGCUCAACCUGGGAACUGCAUUCAAAACUGACUGACUAGAGUAUGGUAGAGGGUGGUGGAAUUUCCUGUGUAGCGGUGAAAUGCGUAGAUAUAGGAAGGAACACCAGUGGCGAAGGCGACCACCUGGACUGAUACUGACACUGAGGUGCGAAAGCGUGGGGAGCAAAC